GGGGAAUUAGCUCAGUGGUAGAGCGCUUGCCUAGCAAGCGCAAGGCCCUGGGUUCGAUCCCCAGCUCUG
This 69-nucleotide transfer RNA is filed under the name Rattus norvegicus (Norway rat). It matches the Rfam family "tRNA". Rfam says of the family: Transfer RNA (tRNA) molecules are approximately 80 nucleotides in length. Their secondary structure includes four short double-helical elements and three loops (D, anti-codon, and T loops). Further hydrogen bonds mediate the characteristic L-shaped molecular structure. tRNAs have two regions of fundamental functional importance: the anti-codon, which is responsible for specific mRNA codon recognition, and the 3' end, to which the tRNAs corresponding amino acid is attached (by aminoacyl-tRNA synthetases). tRNAs cope with the degeneracy of the genetic code in two manners: having more than one tRNA (with a specific anti-codon) for a particular amino acid; and 'wobble' base-pairing, i.e. permitting non-standard base-pairing at the 3rd anti-codon position. The record is from Rfam by way of RNAcentral. Lineage: Eukaryota; Metazoa; Chordata; Mammalia; Rodentia; Muridae.